AGGAUAAACGCUGGCGGCGUGCUUCAGGCAUGCAAGUCGAACGAACACUUCGGUGUUAGUGGCGGACGGGUGAGUAACACGUAAGUAACCUGCCCAGAAGUGGGGAAUAACUAGCCGAAAGGUUGGCUAAUACCGCAUAUGAUGGCACUUCCCUGGAGGGGUCAUCAAAGGAUUUAUUCGCUUUUGGAGGGGCUUGCGGCCGAUUAGCUUGUUGGUGGGGUAAUGGCCUACCAAGGCGACGAUCGGUAGCUGGUCUGAGAGGACGGACAGCCACACGGGGACUGAGAUACGGCCCCGACUCCUACGGGAGGCAGCAGCUAGGAAUCUUGGGAAUGGGCGAAAGCCUGACCCAGCAACGCCGCGUGGGCGAUGAAGGCCUUCGGGUCGUAAAGCCCGUUUUUCAGGGGAAGAUUAUGACGGUACCCUGAGAAUAAGCCACGGCUAACUACGUGCCAGCAGCCGC
This 463-nucleotide ribosomal RNA is filed under the name uncultured bacterium. RNAcentral describes it as "SSU rRNA". It matches the Rfam family "Bacterial small subunit ribosomal RNA", at positions 26 to 518 of the family's 1533-position model. The record is from RNAcentral.